This is a long non-coding RNA of Haliotis rubra (blacklip abalone), 260 nucleotides long. RefSeq lists it as uncharacterized. The record is from RefSeq and is a predicted model, not a curated record. NCBI's taxonomy places the organism in Eukaryota, Metazoa, Mollusca, Gastropoda, Lepetellida, Haliotidae. The transcript has 4 exons.
AUUGUAUCCACAAAGGCAGCUGUGAAGUGGUGAAGUGUGAGGUACAAAAAGCAAUGUGGCUGCUCUAUGUGGUUGUGCUGUUCUUGCUGUUCACAGUAGUUGUUGGAGAAUGUCAUUGCUACAAUGCAAGUACCUGCACAGCAUCUCCGGCAACCACUUGUCGCCAAUAUGGCGGUUGCAUGAAGGGAUGGUUCGGUCCGACCUGCCAGAAACAAAACGUUGCAUUGCUAAGACCUGUGACUCAGACCUCCAUCUACUAU